Molecule: long non-coding RNA, 3824 nt
Filed under: Gallus gallus (chicken)
Lineage: Eukaryota; Metazoa; Chordata; Aves; Galliformes; Phasianidae
Source: RNAcentral
AAAGACAGCUGUAGGACUGUUUGGUUUUUGUACAGCUUGAUAUAAAAGAUUGCUCCUUCAUUAUUUUUGAAGAACUUACAUUUUGAGAAAUGUUUCUAAUCCAUUCUUCCAUCUUAACAUGAAGGAAACAAUAUGGGCUGUAGUGUCCACUACCUGCACUUGACACAGGUACGGAAUGUACAGCUUUGGUUUCACCUUACUGAAGGGGCACCUAUCUGUGAAUGGAGCUUAUACCUUUAUGAUAGUGAGAAACAUUUGGGCCAUACAUUAUCCUCAACCUUCCAGAAGAGGAAAUCCUGCACAGAAACACAGUCACAAGGAAGCAGUUCCUCAGAUAUGCCGUAUUGGCUCCUUUUAUGUCUGUAGUGGCUGUAUUGCUGACUUGCUAACUGCUCCACUUGUUGCCCAAGGCUGCCAGCUCACCCUCCCUGAGAAGACAGACCCAUUCCCAUUCUCUGCAGCCUUAGCAGCUAACACUGAAUUUCUACACUUGUUUCCUUCCACUUCUUCUUCCCCUUUCAUCCUUUUAAGGGCAUCUCCACAUUAAUGAGUCCUAGAAGUACGUUGUGUUUCCAAGAGCUCCUAGAGGGACAAAACAAUUCCUUGUGCACAGGAUCUGGUUCCUUCUACCAAUGCUUUUCCUGCCCCUUUCUAGCAGUCCCCCUGUGGCUCUACGUGAGACCAAGGACAACUUCUUAUACUGAUACAACAUAAAAUUCCUUGUGCCUACAGGAAGCAAACCAGCGUAACAUUUUACUGACAUCAGCAUCAUGCAUACAUCACAAAAGUUACUCGUGAACAUUCAACAUCGUGAUAAGUAUCAAACAGGGGAAAAAACAGUUGCCAAUCACUUUCAUAGAAACAGCAUUUAUUAAAAAAAUAAAAGUAAAAUCAAAUGUCUCCUUCGGUUAUCAGUAAAAAUCAGUCAAUCAAGAAAAGAAAAAAAAAGGAAGCUAAGGACAACGUUGCUGCUGACCUACUGGCAAAAACGAACUGCAAAAACACAACAGCGUUGUAAGCUCUACAGGAAAGCACUUGAAAAAUCAGACACUUUUAGAAGCCUGAUUCAAUUUCACUAUGAGAACAAAAGAGACUCCUAACACAACGUGCAGUAACAACGGACAAAAAUUAUAUUAAGCACGAAUUCACUGUUUUGUUUCUUUAGUGUUUCUAACCCAAAGCAGAAGCUCAGAUCUACCACCUGAAGACUGUCUGGUCCAUAGUGAGCCCUGUUCGCUACGUUCCUGUCUCAGAGAACGUUGCCUGUGGUUGCAGGACAAGCCAGGCUAUUGCAAAAGGGCUGGGUCAGGCCUAGCUGCUGCGCCACCACAGGCCACCUUUCUUGCCCAUCUCCCACCCCAAAUCAGCACCCAGUAGGAUUAGUGAGCUUUUCCCACUCACCCUGCAGCCCUGACAUUAAAACUAAUCAGGCAUCUGAGGAAUCUGAUGCAAUACAUAUUUAAUGUACCAUAUCAAGGUUUGUCUGUGUAAGAUGCUGUGAUGCAGUACCUUGUAUGUGCAAAAUCGCUGCCAAUGUAUUCACUUUUCUGCAAACCAUUUGGCAGAAAUCUGUGAAGCUACUUAAUAAGGGGCUGAAUCCACGGACGUUUGCAUUUAAUACUGUGCGUAUGGGAAACGGUGAGCUUCAUUCAGUUGUUAGCCCUCUAACAGAGUUUCGUGUUUAUAAAUCCACGUAUGAAAAACAAUCGUGUUUACUUUUUCGUUUACUUUUUCUUCACUAUGACUCAAAUUCUCCCUUUUCCUAAAACAUUCAAGAUAAACAGUAUCACCUUAUGUGCACACAUAGCAGUAGUCAGGAUACCUACCCUGCCAACGAUUGAUUCCUAAGUUACAUUUCAUCUCUGCAACACAAUGGCACAGCACUGGCACUCUCUUGUCUCUGCUCAACCAUUUUUCCCAGCUACAAGUCACUCUCUAUCAGGUCAAAAAUGGCUCCAGACACUCCACCACUACAGAAUCAUUUAGGUUUGAAAUAAUGCAUUUGGGGCCUACUUAAGGUUUAACUUCACAUUUAUACCUGAUCUGAAGCAAUCUGGAGUUACUAAAUAGAGAGAUGGCCCAGACCUCACCUUGGCACCUCAAAUUCCUGUGCCUGCGUGACUUCUGAAGAUUUACACGGCCUCCUAAUUGUUACAACUGAUGCACGAAAAAUGGCGAGGUUUAAGGGAGAAGAGGGGGAGAGAGUAAAAGCAGAGACCUUCCCUCAGUGUCUGCCCCUGGUUACAUUCUGUAUAGUUCAAAAAUACAUAUGUAUAAAAAUAAUUAAAAAAGAAAACAGCUGCAAACAGUUAACAAAAAUUGGAAUUCAUUCUACAUAAUACUGCUUACUAGUAAUGACUUACAGUGUGGAAAACACCAACAUACAAAAAGCAUUUGCAGAAGUAGAGUAGGUUCUUCUAACACUAAGCAGGCAGAGUUCCUCUGGCAAAGACUACAUAAACCCUGGUGUAAUUGUACAGAAUCAAUCUGAAAUUCAAAAUUAAACUAUAAUAAAUAAAUUAAAUCAUAGUGGUGAGCAACUUUACAAGUCUUCCAUUCCUACCGUAUGUAUGAACAUAGGACAUUCCUGCAUAAGCUGAGGAAGGAAGAACAUUCUUCUUUUAGUAAAAAUCACGGUGUUUCUGGUUACGCUUACAAACAUCAAAACACAAAUGCACAAACAUCAGACUGAACGUGGUGUGCCAGGUAAGUGUGUAAAGGUUUCAAAAAUAGCUCGUGACUUUACAGAAUUUUUGAAGAAAAAACAUCUUUUUCAACGGAAUAUAUGUCAACAGGUACAGGUAGGAAGAAUACAACUGUGGAGACUACAACGAACAAGGUAUGGCCAUCUGAGCUAUGAAGUAGCACAGGCCUUGGGUUCCAAUCUUCAACACAAACUCCCCUUUCCCCACAAGAAACAGAUGUAUGCAUUACAGUGCACAUACUGUAUGCAGAGUUCUAAAAUUGAAUUUCUGUCUUAGUAUGAGCCGUCUUUGAAGGAUUCUGAUAUAUCUUGGUUGGCAGCAUCGUACUCAGCAAUGAAAUGUUUGAGUUCUUCAAUGCAUCGCUCACCUAUUUCAUGCAAAUUCUGCCUCAGAGCAAACUGAAUGGACUUCUCUAAUGAUGGAUCUUUAUCAAUCAGCAUCUUCACCACCAUGCCAAAGGUUUCACAGUCUUGUCUGUAUACCUGUUCAAUCUCCUUGGUUUUAGUUGCAAUUGCUUUUGAGCGGCAAAGAAGUUGGUUAUCCUCAUAUAAUUCCGUACUGUCAGUUACAUUUGUUUCUGUUUCCUCUGUUUGUUCGACAUAUAAUGGAGCUGAAGAUCCAGCCUCAUACUCUGUUCUUUCAGGUAAAUUGUUUUCAUCGGCCUUCUCUAACUUCUCAGCUGCCCAUUUGCUUGCAGCUUCUGCAAGUUCCUUUUCUGAUAGUCUGUUGCUCUUCUCCACGGUCUUUGUCGAGGGUACUGCUGUGGAACCCGAUGGUGAUGCAUCUCUUGAUGUUUUCGACGACUGAACUGAAGUCCUCUCUUUACCUUGCUGAGAAGAAAUAUUUCUUUUAUGUAAAGAUGACAUACUUCUGCUAUGCUGGGACUGGUGGAAAGGAUAGGCUUUGCUUCUUUCAGGAGAGUAGCUUCUGCUGCUCACACUGGAGCCAGAUCUGCUGUGCGGAGAAUCCCUUCGGCUCACUGGUGAUUCCCUGAAGAAAGGAGAGUCUCUCUUAUGAGGGGAUCGUUCUCUCAUAUAAUGAGAGGGAUGGAAGCUUUUCCUUCUGAAGCCAUCUCUGACCUUCCUGUAUUCAGUCUGCCGAUUCAUAGGAUGAUCAUCU